AGAGUUUGAUCAUGGCUCAGAACGAACGCUGGCGGCGUGCUUAAUACAUGCAAGUCGAACGGAGAUAUUGUAGCAAUACGGUAUUUUAGUGGCGAACGGGUGAGUAACGCGUUGGUGACCUGCCCCGAAGAGGGGGAUAACAGUCCGAAAGGAUUGCUAAUACCCCAUGUGGUUAUUUGGAUUAGAUGCCUGAUAACAAAAGGAGAAAUUCACUUCGGGAGGGACCUGCGUCCCAUCAGCUAGUUGGUGAGGUAACGGCCCACCAAGGCUACGACGGGUAGGGGACCUGAGAGGGUGGCCCCCCACAAUGGAACUGAAACACGGUCCAUACACCUACGGGUGGCAGCAGUAGGGAAUAUUAGUUAAUGUGCGAAAGCGCGAACUAGCAACGCCGCGUGCACGAUGAAGGCCUUCGGGUCGUAAAGUGCUUUUUGAGGGGAUGAGAAAGGACAGUACCCUCAGAAUAAGUCUCGGCUAACUACGUGCCAGCAGCCGCGGUAAUACA
RNAcentral lists this ribosomal RNA (505 nucleotides) under uncultured Bellilinea sp. RNAcentral describes it as "bacterial SSU rRNA". It matches the Rfam family "Bacterial small subunit ribosomal RNA", at positions 8 to 527 of the family's 1533-position model. The record is from RNAcentral. Lineage: Bacteria; Bacillati; Chloroflexota; Anaerolineae; Anaerolineales; Anaerolineaceae.